CCUGCGGAAGGAUCAUUACCGAGUUCAUGCCCUUCGGGGUAGAUCUCCCACCCUUUGUAUACCAUACCUCUGUUGCUUUGGCGGGCCGCCUAGCUACUGGCUUCGGCUGGUAAGUGCCCGCCAGAGGACCCAAAACCCCUGAAUAUUAGCGUCGUCUGAGUAAAAAGUUUAAUAUUUAAAACUUUCAACAACGGAUCUCUUGGCUCUGGCAUCGAUGAAGAACGCAGCGAAAUGCGAUAAGUAAUGUGAAUUGCAGAAUUCAGUGAAUCAUCGAAUCUUUGAACGCACAUUGCGCCCCUUGGUAUUCCGAGGGGCAUGCCUAUUCGAGCGUCAUUAUCACCCCUCAAGCCUAGCUUGGUGUUGAGACCUGCUGUCAAGGCAGUCUCUAAAAUCAGUGGCAGUGCUGUCAGGCUCUAAGCGUAGUAAAUUCAUCGCUAUAGGGUCCUGCUGGAUACUCGCCAGAACCCCCCCAUUUUUUUAAUGAUUGACCUCGGAUUAGGUAGGGAUACCCGCUGAACUUAAGCAUAUCAAUAGCGG
Molecule: ribosomal RNA, 537 nt
Filed under: fungal sp. UFMGCB 2603
Lineage: Eukaryota; Fungi
Description: eukaryotic LSU rRNA
Rfam family: 5.8S ribosomal RNA (bases 180-333)
Source: RNAcentral